RNAcentral lists this long non-coding RNA (1621 nucleotides) under Salvia miltiorrhiza (redroot sage). RNAcentral describes it as "long non-coding RNA (SMIL_LNC007415)". The record is from RNAcentral. Lineage: Eukaryota; Viridiplantae; Streptophyta; Magnoliopsida; Lamiales; Lamiaceae.
UCUCAUUAAAAAACAAAACUCGGUUCAAGAGUAAUACUCCGAAACCUUACAAAAUAAAACAACGGGUGUUGACUCUGAUGUCAUCCCGACAUACAGAAUCACACUCGUACACAAUUGCCCUACAUGGCUUGAUUUCUCUCUGUAAGCUCUUGGCAGACUUAGGGAACAACGAGUGCUGUAAAAGAUGUUAUCGUAACACACAACAUAACACUCGUACAAGAAUCGCCUAUCACCCUCUCAAGCUGCACUUUGAAUGAGAACUCUUCCCCAGCUUAUAUAGGCGUCUCCAACUUGCUCCCCAAGCCUUGAAAAACGUGCUGCAAGUGAUGGAUGGAGUGGUUGUUGAAGUGGUUAGGUUUUCCUUGUUUGUAGGAACAAACUCCACCAACUUUCUUCCCUUAACUUCCAACAGCAACGUUUGAGCCUCCAACCACUCCCUUUCUCUCUCUUUUCCCUCUUCUCAUCUUCCUUAUUUGUAGGAGUCUUCAACCUCUCUUUGACUCAGCCAUUCGAACCCUACAAAACACACGUGAAGAAGGCAAAACAAACCAAAACUUUAGGAAAGUUUUAUGGAGUUAAAAAUUAACUCCAAGAAACUCCCCCUUUUUGCCUUUCUUCACAAAACCAAUCUCCAUGAAAUCUCCCCCUAAACGGAUGUUCUCCCCCUGCAUUUGAACUUCCUGAAAGAGUAAUUUGCACCAUCCAAAAUUGGUGGUCGCAUAAAUCCCAGAUUGUUGGACUCCAUGUUGAAGCAACUGUUCUGAUAACAACGAGGAUCACACUCAGUGUGUCGAGUGACCGCUCUGAUACCACUUGAAAGUGUUGCUUCGUCUGGAUCAAAAUGUUGUGCAGAAUGUUGGAACAGCACGCACAACAACACAGAGUAAAAAGCAGCGGAAAUAAAUAAAAAUAGGAGAGAAGACACAAGGAGAUACAAAAAUUCUUCAAGUUAUAAAGUAUAACUUGAAGACGCCUCAUGGCAAAAUGACUAAAGGGAGAAUGAACAACUCACGUUCAAUACCUUUACAAGACUCUAGGUAUUGAACAAACGACACUCUCAUUAAAAAACAAAACUCGGUUCAAGAGUAAUACUCCGAAACCUUACAAAAUAAAACAACGGGUGUUGACUCUGAUGUCAUCCCGACAUACAGAAUCACACUCGUACACAAUUGCCCUACAUGGCUUGAUUUCUCUCUGUAAGCUCUUGGCAGACUUAGGGAACAACGAGUGCUGUAUAAGAUGUUAUCGUAACACACUACAUAACACUCGUACAAGAAUCGCCUUUCACCCUCUCAUGUUGCCCUUUGAAUGAGGACUCUUCCCUAGCUUAUAUAGGCGUCUCCAACUUGCUCCCCAAGCCUUGAAAAACGUGUUGCAAGUGAUGGAUGGAGUGGUUGUUGAAGUGGUUAGGUUUUCCUUGUUUGUAGGAACAAACUCCACCAACUUUCUUCCCUUAACUUCCAAUAGCAACGUUUGAGCCUCCAACCACUCCCUUUCUCUCUCUUUUCCCUCUUCUCAUCUUCCUUAUUUGUAGGAGUCUUCAACCUCUCUUUGACUCAGCCAUUCGAACCCUACAAAACACACGUGAAGAAGGCAAAACAAACCAAAACUUUAGGAAAGU